UAUCAAAAUAAAAAUUUUAAAGCUACCUAUAUGCCCCUCAAUAUUUCAGAAAUAUCUCAUAUAUUCUUACAUUUUUUUUGUUUCAAAUAUAUCCCUCGUAUAUUUCUCCGUUAUUCAAAAUAACUCUGUUGUUAGUACAUGUUAAGUCACCUCUAAUUAAGCCCGGGCCGUGUUUGGUUCGCUUCUCUUUCACCAUGUAAUCGGAAUUGAAAUUGAUGAAUCCAUUUGUGGGUGUUUGGUAUGCGGAAGUCCCAUUCUGAUCCAAUCAUCUCUUUUUCCAAUCCAGCCUAGGAGCCAGAUUGGAAGUUGAAUUCGGACGGAAUGGAUAUUUAUUCAGAUUAAAUUUAUUUUUUCAACUUUUUUAAUUAAAAUAUGAGUUUAAAUUUAGAAAUUAAAUUUAUAAUUUUAAAUUUUAAUUUUAAUUUGAAUUAAAAAUUAAAAUUUAAUCAAGUAUUUUGAAUCUAACUUGAAUUUGAAUUUAAAUUAAAUUUUAAUUUAUAUUCAAAUUUUAUUUAAAACUUAAAUUAAAUUUAUGAAUUCAAAUUAAAAUUUAAAUUAUAAUUUUAAGUUUGAAUUUGAAUAUAUCGAAAUUUAGUUUUAUAUUUUAAAUUAUCCACUCAACUUCAAAGUUUAAAUUUUUUAACAAAAAUAGAUUUAAAAUUUUGACAUUAUUUUAAAAUUUUGAUGUAAAUUUUUAAUAUUUAAUAUUUAAUUUGAAUUUAAAUUAAUAUAUUAUGAAGAUAAAGUUAGUAUAUUAAUUUGAUUACGUUUUUUAUAUCUACUUGAACCAAAUACGGACAAUGAGAAUGAUUUAUUCCGAUUUAGGUAACGAACCAAACAGAAUUAGGUAAUGAGUCAUUCUGAUUCCAAUUCCAGCUUAUUUCGAUUCCGAUUCUGAUUCCUAUUCCGACUUCGAACCAAACGCGCCUAAAUUUCUACAAAAGUUAAAAAGAAAUCAAAAUAUCUAUUUUUCCUUUAAUUUAAGGAUAAAUAAAAAAAAAAGGUUAAUUGCAUACACGUCCCUGCAAAUAUGAUAAAUUGCAGAUAUAUCCCUACAAAGCUCAACUUUCAUAAGUUAUCCCUGCAAAAAUCCUAAUGUAUUCAGAUAUGUCCCUCUGGUUAUCAAAAUUUUUAUUUUGCUAUCGAAACUUUCAAUUGUUUGAUUGAGUUAGUCAACGAUACUUUAAUUUUAAAAUCUAAGCUAAUUAUUUUAAUGAAUUUAUAAUUGAGAAAGUCGCAUGAGGUAUAUUAAAUCUGUAAAGAUAAACAAUAAAAUCAAAAGUUGAAGUGGAAGUGCCAUCGACUGUUUUAGAUUAAACAAAUUGAAAGAUUGUGUAGUAAAAUCAAAAUUUUAAAAAUUUGGAAAACUAAUUCAAAAUGGUCUAUAGUUCAUGUAAAUUUCCUAUCCUUUUUUUUCUU
This 1419-nucleotide long non-coding RNA is filed under the name Ananas comosus (pineapple). Its description in RNAcentral is "long non-coding RNA (ACOM_LNC028948)". The record is from RNAcentral. Lineage: Eukaryota; Viridiplantae; Streptophyta; Magnoliopsida; Poales; Bromeliaceae.